RNAcentral lists this ribosomal RNA (421 nucleotides) under uncultured prokaryote. RNAcentral describes it as "bacterial SSU rRNA". It matches the Rfam family "Bacterial small subunit ribosomal RNA", at positions 355 to 776 of the family's 1533-position model. The record is from RNAcentral. RNAcentral also lists the same sequence under 1 other name.
UAGGGAAUAUUGCACAAUGGGGGGAACCCUGAUGCAGCAACGCCACGUGUGGGAAGAAGCAUUUCGGUGUGUAAACCACUGUCGGAAGGGAAUAAUAUGAAGAUUCGUCUUUUUUGAAUGUACCUUUAGAGGAAGCACCGGCAAACUUCGUGCCAGCAGCCGCGGUAAUACGAGGGGUGCGAGCGUUGUUCGGAAUCACUGGGCGUAAAGGGAGCGUAGGCGGAAAGUCAAGCGAUCUGUAUAAUUCCGGGGCCCAACUCCGGCCUUGCAGAUCGGACUGUCUUUCUUGAAUAGUUCAGGGGCAAGCGGAAUUCCUGGUGUAGCGGUGGAAUGCGUAGAGAUCAGGAAGAACACCGAUGGCGAAGGCAGCUUGCUGGGGACUUAUUGACGCUGAGGCUCGAAAGUGCGGGUAGCAAACAGG